RNAcentral lists this small nuclear RNA (215 nucleotides) under Fukomys damarensis (Damara mole-rat). RNAcentral describes it as "7SK RNA". It matches the Rfam family "7SK RNA". Rfam says of the family: 7SK was discovered as an abundant small nuclear RNA in the mid-70s but a possible function has only recently been suggested. Two independent studies have found that 7SK RNA binds the CDK9/cyclin T complex (known as elongation factor P-TEFb). P-TEFb activates transcription by phosphorylating the C-terminal domain of RNA polymerase II. Lineage: Eukaryota; Metazoa; Chordata; Mammalia; Rodentia; Bathyergidae. The record is from Rfam by way of RNAcentral.
AGGUCCUUUUUGACCCUUCUGUGUGCAUCCCUCCUGAAGCUGGGCUCUGGGUGGAAGAAAACGACCACCUCCAACAGAGAAGGACCAUUUUCUCAGUCAAGAGUAUAAGUCUAGCUGUGCCACCCCCAUUAGAAUCUCCAAAGAAGCACUUCGCUCUCACCUGCUUUGUACCAUUAUUGGCAUCUUUAUGCAUCCUCAUUCCUGAAGCACUCCAG